RNAcentral lists this ribosomal RNA (485 nucleotides) under uncultured bacterium. RNAcentral describes it as "partial 16S ribosomal RNA". It matches the Rfam family "Bacterial small subunit ribosomal RNA", at positions 29 to 523 of the family's 1533-position model. The record is from RNAcentral.
AGUGAACGCUGGCGGCGUGCUUAACACAUGCAAGUCGAACGAGAACGGAAUAUAGCUUGCUAUAUUUGUCAGCUAAGUGGCGCAGGGGUGAGGAAUGUAUAGAUAACCUGCCCUUAAGAAAGGAAUAACAGUUGGAAACGACUGCUAAUGCCCUAUAUGCCUUUAAUACAUAAGUAUGCAAGGGAAACGCUUUAGUGCUUAAGGAUGGGUCUGUAUGGUAUCAGCUUGUUGGUGCGGUAAUGGCUCACCAAGGCUAUGACGCCUAACUGGUUUGAGAUGAUGAUCAGUCAGACUGGAACUGAGACACGGUCCAGACUCCUACGGGAGGCAGCAGUGGGGAAUAUUGCACAAUGGACGAAAGUCUGAUGCAGCAACGCCGCGUGGAGGAUGACACAUUUCGGUGCGUAAACUCCUUUUAUAUAGGAAGAUAAUGACGGUACUAGAUGAAUAAGCACCGGCUAACUCCGUGCCAGCCGCCGCCGUAA